This 125-nucleotide ribosomal RNA is filed under the name Acinetobacter baumannii. Its description in RNAcentral is "partial 23S ribosomal RNA". It matches the Rfam family "Bacterial large subunit ribosomal RNA", at positions 2815 to 2925 of the family's 2925-position model. Lineage: Bacteria; Pseudomonadati; Pseudomonadota; Gammaproteobacteria; Moraxellales; Moraxellaceae. The record is from RNAcentral.
GGACUUUAAGUCUCCUGAAGGAACGUUAAAGACGAUGACGUUGAUAGGCCGGGUGUGUAAGCGCAGCGAUGCGUUGAGCUAACCGGUACUAAUGAACCGUGAGGCUUAACCUUACAACGCCGAAG